UGGGGAAUAUUGGACAAUGGGCGAAAGCCUGAUCCAGCCAUGCCGCGUGUGUGAAGAAGGUCUUCGGAUUGUAAAGCACUUUAAGCUGGGAGGAAGGGCAGUAAGCGAAUACCUUGCUGUUUUGACGUUACCGACAGAAUAAGCACCGGCUAACUCUGUGCCAGCAGCCGCGGUAAUACAGAGGGUGCAAGCGUUAAUCGGAAUUACUGGGCGUAAAGCGCGCGUAGGUGGUUCGUUAAGUUGAAUGUGAAAGCCCCGGGCUCAACCUGGGAACUGCAUCCAAAACUGGCGAGCUAGAGUGGGGCAGAGGGUGGUGGAAUUUCCUGUGUAGCGGUGAAAUGCGUAGAUAUAGGAAGGAACACCAGUGGCGAAGGCGACCACCUGGGCUCAUACUGACACUGGGGUGCGAAAGCGUGGGGAGCAAACGGG
RNAcentral lists this ribosomal RNA (429 nucleotides) under Pseudomonadota bacterium. RNAcentral describes it as "Proteobacteria bacterium partial 16S ribosomal RNA". It matches the Rfam family "Bacterial small subunit ribosomal RNA", at positions 355 to 776 of the family's 1533-position model. Lineage: Bacteria; Pseudomonadati; Pseudomonadota. The record is from RNAcentral.